RNAcentral lists this long non-coding RNA (274 nucleotides) under Nicotiana benthamiana. RNAcentral describes it as "long non-coding RNA (NBEN_LNC001534)". Lineage: Eukaryota; Viridiplantae; Streptophyta; Magnoliopsida; Solanales; Solanaceae. The record is from RNAcentral.
UCCAAGUGCCACAUUAUCCUGGUUGAUUCUAUAUAAAAUAAUUGGAAGUUUAGGUUUUAUAGUCCUUUGCUUUCUUGCUGCUGUUCUUGAAUAAUGGUCAGUUCUCCCAUGAGUACUAAUAUGAUAAACUUGUGUAUCCUGAGCAGACAUGCGAGAAGACAAAUGACAAGUCGCUUCUGUAAUAUAGUUUUGCAAGCACCAGCCAACUCUUUGCGUUUUUGUAUCUCAACCAAGCCUACAAAACUCCAUUACUCUACUAUUUCUACAUCCAAGU